AUUAUAGUCAGGUAAAAUGAGGCAAUUUGAUUGGUCAAAUGAGUCAAAUUUGUGCAGUUACUGAAAGCAAUUCGUGGUUCACCGUCCAUCGACAUUAAAAGUUUUGUUUGUUGAGUAUUUUGAGUGUUCACUAUCUGAUAUCUCAAUCAUUUGUUCAGCUG
Molecule: long non-coding RNA, 161 nt
Organism: Amphimedon queenslandica
Lineage: Eukaryota; Metazoa; Porifera; Demospongiae; Haplosclerida; Niphatidae
Exons: 2
Source: RefSeq, a predicted model, not a curated record